This 477-nucleotide ribosomal RNA is filed under the name Triticum aestivum (bread wheat). RNAcentral describes it as "partial small subunit ribosomal RNA". The record is from RNAcentral. Lineage: Eukaryota; Viridiplantae; Streptophyta; Magnoliopsida; Poales; Poaceae.
AUGCACAACAUUGUGCAUAUUGACGAAAAGUGGUUCUAUAUGACAAAAAUGAACAGAUGCUACUACCUCCUCCCCGAGGAAGAUGACCCGGUCAGAACUAUUCGGAACAAAAACUGUAUUGGGGAAGUGAUGUUUCUGACCGCUGUUGCUCGACCUAGAUAUGAUGCUGAAGGCAAUAUGACAUUCUCAGGUAAAAUUGGUGUCUGGCCCUUUGUGCAAGAGAUUCCUGCUACUAGAAGAAGUGAGUAUAGAGCAAGAGGGACCAUUGAAAUCAAGUCUGCCAACGUGAACCGACGGGUAAUGAGGAGGUAUAUGAUAGAAAAAGUGGUUCCUGGAAUAAAGGAAGUCUGGCCCGCAGAUGAUACUAAUCCAAUAUUGAUCCAGCAAGAUAACGCAAGAACGCACAUUCUUCCAGGUGAUGCAGAGUUUGCAGAAGCUGUGGCUACAACUGGUCUGGACAUUAAAAUAAUAAACUAG